Long non-coding RNA from Nannospalax galili (Upper Galilee mountains blind mole rat), 2542 nucleotides. RefSeq lists it as uncharacterized. The record is from RefSeq and is a predicted model, not a curated record. Lineage: Eukaryota; Metazoa; Chordata; Mammalia; Rodentia; Spalacidae. The transcript has 2 exons.
GCUUGGGUCAAUACUGAUGACCUGAGUUUGAUCCCUAGGAGGGAGCUUCUACUGGAUUUUCUGGAGUCAGGGUUUGAGAGUGAAGUUGUAGAGACCUGUGAGGUCAAAUGCUGUUAGAGAGCAGGAAACAGCAGGUUCAGGUCCAGAUGUAGAUGGGCAAAAAUGAACAGGCAGACAGUUGAGUGGGCUACUUCAACAAUAGAGGACUGAGUCCCAGGGAUGGUUAUGAGUCCUCUGCUUGUCAGUAUUUGACUCACAUUGGGUCAUACCAUUACAAUGUUAGGUGUCCAUCAUUUUAUGUGAUCUGAGCGAGGGAAUUAUAUAAUUUCCUUGGUCUGCUGUAUCUGUGUUUCUGAUAAGUUCUCGGGCCUGGUUUUCCUGAUAUGAUUUUUUAAUACACCCAUAUGUUUCCUCUACAGUUUGAUGAAUUUAUAAGGUGAUUCCCUUUCUACUCCCAGAAAUAAGUCAUUUAUCAGUCUGUGCUGGAUGGAUGGUGCCUGAGAGAUGAUGUGUGGUUUGUGGGUUCACCGUGAGACUACAGGCAUCCUUCCCUCUUGAAACAGAGUCAAAAGCUGCUUGUAAACGGGAGUCUCUCAUGUCAAGGAACAGCUUGAAAAACUACUGUUUCACACAAUAUGGAGUAGCCAAGAGUAAGACACAGCAUGAUUAUAAGAGUCAUCAAGAGACCCUAUUAAACUCAUAGAAAACUUACCCCCAGCAUGGUGCAGACUGCUGUUCUCUGCCUCUGCCCAAUACCUAGGGUCAGUUCUGUGCUGCCAUCACUCACUCCACUGUGAGGAAUAUUCUCAGUCCUUCAAAUCAGACUGGAAUCUUUGCCAGUGUAGAGAUGCCUCCCUGUUCUCUUUCAACUGAUUACACUUUGGGGAAAGAUUGCUGUUCCUGGUCUUGUCCACAACCCUCCCAACAUUCAGAGUGGAGCAAGUUCACAGAGCCAGGUAAAAUGACAAAAUGGAGCUAGAGGCCCAGCUGUGGCCCCAACUGUCCACUAGCAUCAUUGCCCGUGUGCACAGGGCUCUUUCUCUUGGGCUUGCUCUGUCCCAGUAGACCCUUUGAGCUACCAAAUGAGCACCUGGAAGCCUCUUCUAUAAAUAGCUACACACGCUCAGACUUGCCCAAGACUCCUGACAAACACAGGCUGUUGUCAAGCCAGACUGCUGCUCCCAGCUCUAGGAAGGCUUAGACAACAUUAUAUGGUGUUCUCCUGUGGACCCAUAUUGCUCUUAUUCAUUCUUAGACGGAAAAAAAGAAUUUUAGAUGGAGAUGAUGCCUCCCAGGCCUCUGAAGACAUUUGUGUCAAGGUAAUGGGAAUACAUUGGUUCAGCCUGCCCUGACUGAGUUGUAGGAGCCAUACCCCAGAGUUCUCAGACACCCACGGAAGUCACAUGCUGAACAGGCAGCAAGAGAUGAGGGGCAAGCUGAGUGGAAACUACUUCUGGCUGUUAAGUCUUAAAGUUCUCUUCAGGUGUAGGGAAGAUCACCUUGCCUUACAUUGUUCAUUUGUACUGGAUAAGGCUGGCAAUUGAUACAUUUCUUUGGUACAUCAGAAGGGGAAAAGCUACAAACAGCGCUCUAUGAGAUCCACUCUGAGAACUCAACCAAUGAGAUUAAAAUUAUUUCUGCCUGUACUGAACAUAUCUAGACAUUUCUUCUUGUCAUUGUUGUUCCCCCAAACACUAUACAACAGCUGUUUCCAUGGUCUGACACUGAAUUAGGUAUUUAUUACAACUACUGGAGAUAAUUUGAAGUGUAUGGAAGGAUGUGCAGAUUCAUCACCAUUUUAAGGGUCUUGAGCAUCCAAGGAUUUGGUGUUAUAACAGGCACUUUUAAACUGCUUCUGCUAAAAAAGACAUUGACUUCUUGCUUUGGGUCCACAGGGUGACUAAAAGCAGGAUGAAGCCUGGUAUCUCUGCCUUCAUCAUGUCUCUGUCUCUUUUGCAUGUAGGUGUAUUAAUCUCUCUGGAAGUAUCUGUACAAAAACUGGUAAUAAACCUGUCUCACUCCCCUUCAAAGGAACAGCAGCACCUCAAAGGACAGACCACCCCUAAGAUGAGGCCAGUUAUCCAUGAUGGUCAGUUGGCACCCUGGAACGUGCCAGUAACCAUCACCUGAGAACCAGCAUGUUCCCUCCAACAAUAUGGACUCCUUCAGACCACCUUGCAGAACCAGAGCUGAGACAAGGGCCAACCAGACCACAGCUGGCCCAGGACUGCUUCAAAACAUGUGCCUUGCGCUGUAAGAGCGCCUGUCUCUGUGGCCGCUGCCUCCGCCUUCCUUCACUGACUCCACAAUCCAGCAUCUUGACCUACCAACCUGACUGAAGACCUAUGACUUGCCAGGAAUCUUCCAGGACUUCAGCAGCAGAUUGGGACUGAGAUAUCCACCUUCAUAGACUGAGAAGCUGCCGGGUUCUCAGUUUCUGUGGCAUGUAGACAGCCAUUGUUGGACACAAGGCUAGUGUCAGUUGUAAGCCAUUGUAGAAUCAGCUUUUAUAGUAAGUAAAUAUACAUAUAUAUACACAGUC